AGCUGGCACUGAGGAAGCUGAAGCAG
Molecule: non-coding RNA, 26 nt
Filed under: Cricetulus griseus (Chinese hamster)
Lineage: Eukaryota; Metazoa; Chordata; Mammalia; Rodentia; Cricetidae
Source: RNAcentral